AAAAUCCAAAAGUAUAUAUAUUUUUAAAAAAAAAUACAAGAAAAACACAUGUAAGGUGAAAGGAACAUGUAUUUUAGAACAUUAGAACAUCACUUUUAGAACAUUAGACCAACAGAACAACACUUAAAAAUUUCAAUCUUAAAGUGUUAUUGGAGGACAUGAUAACACUAAAAAAAAAAUUUUAAUGUAAUAUGUAGAAAAUCAAGGUUAAUAAAGUUGCCAUGUUUGGUUCUUUACCCAUAAGUGACAAAAAAAUUAAACAAAGCAGGUCCACUCACUGUCCUCACUGGAACUAUUGUCACCACUGUUUUGUUAUUUGUGCGGAAAUAACCAAAAACAGUCACUUGCCCGAUAAAGGGUUAAAAGCAUAAACAAAUAUAGAUGUAGUUAGAUUAUUUAGAUGAUUUUUUAUUUUUUUUUAUCUGUUAGAUUUCCCUCAUAUUGUGCAGGUGUAAUGACUAACAUAAGGUUUUAUUUGAUUGAAAUCUGAGCAUUAUUUGUGUGAGACGGGGUUGUUUAGUUUGCAUUGUGUUUAUGCAAGUGUAAAGGAAUUCACACGCUCUUAUGCAGCCGCCGUGGCUAAAGCCCUGCUGGAUAAUGUUAUUAUAUGACUAUAAUUAUUACUAUUCUGUAUAUCAUUCAUAUUAAUGUUAUUAUGAUUAUGAAAUACAUGUUGAAGCAUGACUUUGCAAAAAAAAAUGGCGAAAAAAAACAAAACAAAACAAUGCUGUACAUUUUUAGAUAUUUUAAAGAAAUACAAAAAGGUAUUUUUGUAAUCGAGACGAUGUUUGGAAUGGUUCUGUUUGAUUGGUUCAUGUUGUGUUCAAGUGUGCGAGGAUCUAUUCGAAGCCUUUCAUACUUUGUUUAUUCGUCCCCCCACUUUGUUUUCAAGUCGCCGUCCUGCUAAAAACCGAAGCCGUCCAAACCGAGUCGGUAGGUUUUUUUUGUUUUUUUUGUUUUUUUUCUUUAUCCGCUCGUAUGCGUGCGUUUUUACCCAAUGAAAUUUGUGGUUUUUCGUCCGAUGUGCUUUGGUUGAACUGAGCGAAAACAGAUAAACACACCCGAGGGGAAAAUUCACGAUCCCCGAACCCUGCUAUAAUUAGGAAUCUGCGUUUUUUUUUGUUUGUUUUAUUUUGUCAUGUAUCGGCAGGACAGCAGCUCAGUAUAAAGAAACAAAAAGACCAAAGGCGUUUUUUUUUUUUUUUACACUGGAGAGCUAUCUAGGCUAGUGAAAUUCUUCUGUUUCCGACUGCUUUGUAGUCCUCAAUCUGAUUUCUUAUGAAGUAUGACAUUUUUGCUGCAUGUCUCUUUUUUUUUUUUUUGGUGUCAGACCAGAUACUCAAUUUAUCUCUUUUGUCUAUUUUUAGGGAAGUCGGUGUGAUUCAACCUGCUUUUGUAUAAAAAAAAAUAAAAAGAAAUAAAAAAAAAAAAAAUCUGAUUUACAUAGUAAUGAUCGGACAGGAAAAACAAUCUUUUUAUAAGUGUGUGUUUUCCGGCAAUAACAACAUAUCACAGAGCGAUCAUAUUCCUGUGACAUUUUUUUAAGGCAAAAAAAAAAAUCUCCUUCAUCAGGAAACAAAAGCGAUUCUUGUGCUUUUCUGAUGAGGCCGAGUCACAUGUCAUCGUUAUGUGACAAUCAGAAGCUGAAAAAAAAAACCAAAAAAAAGCAAAAAAACAAUCUGUCCCAGUCGUCUACAAUCGUAUCGAACUGGUUGAAUCAUAUAGUCAGUGUUUGUAACGAAUAAUAAUAUGCACAUCAUAUCGACUGAUUUUUUUUUUUUUUUUUGCUUUUUAUUGACUUUUUUUUUUUUUUUUUUGCCAAAUGGGGCACCAAAAUUUAUUAGAACAAGUAUUUAUAAGGUGUGUGAGUGUGUGUUUUUAUCGGUAUUAUGUUUUUAAAAGUUCAUAGAGGAUGCCCAUUAUAUAAUUCUAUGUAAGUAUUAAUGUAAGUUUGAAUUGUAUAUUCAUUUGCUAAUUUUUCUAGAGCUUCUGUACGUGUUUGUAUUUGACUGAUUGGAACAUACUGUAUGUGAUGUAUGAAUACUGUUUGAACUACAUAAUUCACUGUGAAAUCCUUUAAAGAAUGACAGUACGGUACAGAGGUUCCUGGACGUUAAUAUUAACCAUCCAUUGGUUUUCGACGAUUGAAGCCCCGCCCACUUUCCCUGGUUUCAGUAAAAAAAAAAAAAAAAAAUUAGAAAAAUGUAUGUACCCGUGUGUUCUGUGCAUGUUCACGGCAUGUGUGUGUGUUUUUUCCUUUUUUUUUUUUUUUUUUUUUUUUUUUUCUUAAUGCAUACAGUACUGUUGAUAUUUAUGUAUCUGAACCGCUGUGAGGAGAAACUGUAUUUCGGUGAAUUGCAGAGGUUUUGUUUGUUUGUUUGUUUUGUUUGUUUGGAAUCAUAAAAAAAAGGUGAUCAAAAAGAGAAGUUUUUAUGAAAAUGUUAAAUGAAGACAUGAGGCCAUCUGCUAUUAAAGAUUGACGUCAUCCCUGCUGUCAUGAUU
Sphaeramia orbicularis (orbiculate cardinalfish) is the source of this 2502-nucleotide long non-coding RNA. RefSeq lists it as uncharacterized. The record is from RefSeq and is a predicted model, not a curated record. The transcript is spliced from 2 exons. NCBI's taxonomy places the organism in Eukaryota, Metazoa, Chordata, Actinopteri, Kurtiformes, Apogonidae.